UCGUUAUGAUUAAGUUGAAAAUAGAAAAAUAUUUGACAAGCAUGUUCAUCAGUGCAAAACAAAAUAAAAGUAAAAAAGAACAAUAAAACAAAUCCAGUGUUUUUAUGCUCAUGCUCCUUUUCUUCUUUCUUUCUUUCUACUUCACUCACCUUGCACAAAUCUCCUUAGGAAUGCCAAAAUUUUUCUGCCCAAUAUGCCUUGGAAUUGUUUUUCUCGACUUUCUAUGUUUUUCUCUCAAAUGGGAAGUAGGAAAAUGGGAAAGAGGAGAAGAGAAC
This 275-nucleotide long non-coding RNA is filed under the name Gossypium raimondii (Peruvian cotton). RNAcentral describes it as "long non-coding RNA (GRAI_LNC009545)". The record is from RNAcentral. Lineage: Eukaryota; Viridiplantae; Streptophyta; Magnoliopsida; Malvales; Malvaceae.